Molecule: ribosomal RNA, 253 nt
Filed under: uncultured bacterium
Lineage: Bacteria
Description: partial 16S ribosomal RNA
Rfam family: Bacterial small subunit ribosomal RNA
Source: RNAcentral
AACGUAGGUACCGAGCGUUAUCCGGAUUUACUGGGCGUAAAGCGCGUUCAGGCGGUUUGGCAAGUCGGGCAUGAAAUCUCUCGGCUCAACCGGGAGAGGUUGUCCGAUACUGCUGGACUUGAGGGCAGUAGAGGGUGGUGGAAUUCCGGGUGUAGUGGUGAAAUGCGUAGAUAUCCGGAGGAACACCAGUGGCGAAAGCGGCCACCUGGACUGCACCUGACGCUGACACGCGAAAGCUAGGGGAGCAAACAGG